GAGUUUGAUCUUGGCUCAGGACGAACGCUGGCGGCGUGCUUAACACAUGCAAGUCGAACGGAGUAUUCACGAAAGAGGUUUCGGCCAAUGGAGUGAAUUACUUAGUGGCGGACUGGUGAGUAACGCGUGAGGAACCUGCCUUUCAGUGGGGGACAACAGUUGGAAACGACUGCUAAUACCGCAUAACACAUUUGAGGGACAUCCCUUGAAUGUCAAAGAUUUAUUGCUGAAAGAUGGCCUCGCGUCUGAUUAGCUAGUUGGUGAGGUAACGGCCCACCAAGGCGACGAUCAGUAGCCGGACUGAGAGGUUGACCGGCCACAUUGGGACUGAGAUACGGCCAGACUCCUACGGGAGGCAGCAGUGGGGAAUAUUGGGCAAUGGACGAAAGUCUGACCCAGCAACGCCGCGUGAAGGAAGAAGGCUUUCGGGUUGUAACUCUUUUAAGGGGAAGAGUAGAAGACGGUA
Molecule: ribosomal RNA, 466 nt
Filed under: bacterium enrichment culture clone OZDCA156
Lineage: Bacteria
Description: bacterial SSU rRNA
Rfam family: Bacterial small subunit ribosomal RNA
Source: RNAcentral